RNAcentral lists this ribosomal RNA (274 nucleotides) under uncultured bacterium. RNAcentral describes it as "partial 16S ribosomal RNA". It matches the Rfam family "Bacterial small subunit ribosomal RNA", at positions 523 to 796 of the family's 1533-position model. The record is from RNAcentral.
AUACGAAGGGGGCUAGCGUUGUUCGGAAUUACUGGGCGUAAAGCGCGCGUAGGCGGACUGAUCAGUUGGGGGUGAAAUCCCAGGGCUUAACCCUGGAACUGCCUCCAAUACUGUCAGUCUUGAGUUCGGGAGAGGUGAGUGGAAUUCCUAGUGUAGAGGUGAAAUUCGUAGAUAUUAGGAAGAACACCAGUGGCGAAGGCGGUUCACUGGCCCGAUACUGACGCUGAGGUGCGAAAGCGUGGGGAGCAAACAGGAUUAGAAACCCUAGUAGUCC